This 467-nucleotide ribosomal RNA is filed under the name uncultured bacterium. RNAcentral's name for it is "partial 16S ribosomal RNA". It matches the Rfam family "Bacterial small subunit ribosomal RNA", at positions 28 to 507 of the family's 1533-position model. The record is from RNAcentral.
GACGAACGCUGGCGGCGUGCUUAACACAUGCAAGUCGAACGGAAAGGCUCCAGCUUGCUGGAGUACUCGAGUGGCGAACGGGUGAGUAACACGUGGGUAAUCUGCCCUGCACUCUGGGAUAAGCCUGGGAAACUGGGUCUAAUACUGGAUAUGACCUUUCUCCUUAUGGGGUUUGGUGGAAAGUUUUUCGGUGUAGGAUGAGCCCGCGGCCUAUCAGCUUGUUGGUGGGGUGAUGGCCUACCAAGGCGACGACGGGUAGCCGGCCUGAGAGGGUGAUCGGCCACAUUGGGACCGAGAUACGGCCCAGACUCCUACGGGAGGCAGCAGUGGGGAAUAUUGCACAAUGGGCGGAAGCCUGAUGCAGCGACGCCGCGUGAGGGAUGACGGCCUUCGGGUUGUAAACCUCUUUCAGCAGGAACGAAGCGUAAGUGACGGUACCUGCAGAAGAAGCACCGGCUAACUAUGUG